RNAcentral lists this ribosomal RNA (417 nucleotides) under bacterium gwi11. RNAcentral describes it as "bacterial SSU rRNA". It matches the Rfam family "Bacterial small subunit ribosomal RNA", at positions 56 to 489 of the family's 1533-position model. The record is from RNAcentral.
UGCAAGUCGAGCGGUAAGGCCCUUCGGGGUACACGAGCGGCGAACGGGUGAGUAACACGUGGGUAACCUGCCCUGUACUCUGGGAUAAGCCUGGGAAACUAGGUCUAAUACCGGAUACGACCCCUGGAGGCAUCUUCAGGGGUGGAAAGUUCCGGCGGUACAGGAUGGACCCGCGGCCUAUCAGCUUGUUGGUGGGGUAAUGGCCUACCAAGGCGACGACGGGUAGCCGGCCUGAGAGGGUGACCGGCCACACUGGGACUGAGACACGGCCCAGACUCCUACGGGAGGCAGCAGUGGGGAAUAUUGCACAAUGGGCGAAAGCUCUGAUGCAGCGACGCCGCGUGAGGGAUGACGGCCUUCGGGUUGUAAACCUCUUUCAGCAGGGACGAAGCGCGAGUGACGGUACCUGCAGAAGAA